RNAcentral lists this ribosomal RNA (492 nucleotides) under uncultured bacterium. RNAcentral's name for it is "partial 16S ribosomal RNA". It matches the Rfam family "Bacterial small subunit ribosomal RNA", at positions 29 to 507 of the family's 1533-position model. The record is from RNAcentral.
AGUGAACGCUGGCGGUAGGCCUAACACAUGCAAGUCGAACGGCAGCACAGUAAGAGCUUGCUCUUACGGGUGGCGAGUGUCGGACGGGUGAGGAAUACAUCGGAAUCUACUUUUUCGUGGGGGAUAACGUAGGGAAACUUACGCUAAUACCGCAUACGACCUACGGGUGAAAGCAGGGGAUCUUCGGACCUUGCGCGAUUGAAUGAGCCGAUGUCGGAUUAGCUAGUUGGCGGGGUAAAGGCCCACCAAGGCGACGAUCCGUAGCUGGUCUGAGAGGAUGAUCAGCCACACUGGAACUGAGACACGGUCCAGACUCCUACGGGAGGCAGCAGUGGGGAAUAUUGGACAAUGGGCGCAAGCCUGAUACAGCAAUACCGCGUGGGUGAAGAAGGCCUUCGGGUUGUAAAGCCCUUUUGUUGGGAAAGAAAAGCAGCAGGUUAAUACCCCGCUGUUCUGACGGUACCCAAAGAAUAAGCACCGGCUAACUUCGUG